AGUGAAAGAGUGUUGUGUGCUUUUGCUGAGUUUAGGAUGGUGUCAAUUGUGCCUCAGGAGAAGAGUUUAGACAUUCUGUCCUGAUGAAUGUAAUCAAGUCUUUAUUUCAUGGUUUCUCUUAACGCAAAUACGUACAGGUUCAUAUUCGUCGAUGAGGGUGAGAGGAAAACUAUCGCCAACAGAAAGAAUCCAGAUAGGAAGAGAGAAAAAGAAAGACCAGAGAUGGAUUUUGUGUCCUUUUUAAAACAGCCUCAAUCACCUGAUUCCUCCCUGCCACUUCUCUGCAAAUGAUAGAGUUCACACAUCUAUAAUUCUCUCAUAGGUUCAUGUGGGCUGCUCCUCAUAACCCUGCUCAAACACUACUGAGGCAUCAGGAUCUUCAAGAUUCAUUUUAUUCUAGCCAUCAACAUUCCAGCCAGCAGGAAGAGAGAAAAGAACUCUCGUGCAAAAAUUUAUGGGCAAACAUCUCUUCUACUCACUUCCGUUUUCAGAAGCAAAACCAUGGUCCAUCCUAGACACAGGAAAGUACAGUCCCCAGAUAAUCUAUUCUUCCUCUAGUGCUGAGGGUGGUGUCUUUUCUCAUUUGGACUGCUACAACAAAAUAUAUUAGACUGGGUAAUUUAUAAAUAACAGAAAUUUAUUGUUCAUACUUCUGGAGGCUGGGAAGUCCAAGAUCAAGGCAACGACACUUUCAAUGUCUGGUGAGAUCUUGCUCUCUACUUCCAAGAUGGUGCUUUCUUCCUGUGACCUCAUGUGUUGGAAAGGCAAGGCAGCUCCCUUCAAAUUCAUUUAUAAGGACACAAAUCUCAUCCCCAAAGACCCCACCUCUUAAUAUUAUUAUUACAUUGGGUAUUAAGUUCAAAUGAAUCAACUCUGGGGGAAACACCAACAUUCAGAUCAUAGUAGAUAGAAUAAAUUUCAGAUGAAAAUUAGCUCCAUCCACAAAUAACUAUUAUUAUAUUUUAUUUGAUAUCCCUACAGAAUCUUAGUAUGAAUACCCAUAUAUACAUGAUUUAAAAACAAAAUAUCUGCUGUUUUGUAACGUGCUUUUUUUCAUUAAGCAAGAAUAUUGGCAAUACUGUCCCAUGUCAUUAAAUAUUCUGGUAUAACAUCACUGAAAUGUGGCAUAAAUAUUCCAUUAUCUGGAUGUCACAUAUUUUAUUCAACCAAACACCUGUAAUUUUCCCCAGUAUUUCACUAAUAUAAAAGUGAGGUGGAUGACUUUAUAUAAAAAUCUUUCUAUACAUCUCAGACAAAUUCUUAGAAGUCAAUAGGUAAGAAAUUGCUAAUAUAUAUUGCAAAUAUGCCCUAGAAAGAUAGUAUCAACUCAUUGUCCUAUCAGCAACAUUUCCCAGUAAAAAUAUCCGGGACUUAAAAAUACAAGAAUCACCUACCCUUGACUUCUUUAGCACAAUUAUCUCCAUUAUUAUAGAAAUGCUUCAGACUAGGCCUCUGCCUAUGGACAUUAGUCAUUCCAAAAUAUUUACUUCCUUCUCUGACACUUCCGUGGAAAAAACAUGCUUCACUACCUCCUUGAGUUUGGGCUUGGCUAUGUGGUCAGGGCUUGCCUGGUUGUGCAGCCUCUCGUUUCUCUCACGUUGCCAUGAGUUAAUUUUCCCCUGGAAAGCAUUUAAUUGAAGAAGGAUGAAGCCUCAGGCAGACUUAGGUGCAAUCAGCAGCUUACAGCUGCCCAGCCAAGCCCAGCCUAAAUCAGCCAGAUGUGAAUGAAAUCAACACCUCAAUGUUGUAUGACACUGAAAUUUUGUGGUUGUAUAUUUUGCAACAAUGGCUGUCUGAUACUCUGGUAACACCCAUGAGAAAGGAACUGACCAGCAUCUGGGGCAGGCUGCUCUGUCCCUGGCUCUUCACACCUUUCCUUUGAUCUGUCUGUGUAAGUGAUUGCUCCUUAAUUUCCAGGUGUCAGCAGGUGAUUUGUGCUAAAGUUAUUAUCCUAGUUUUGCCAUUUCAGUCUUACAUGUUUUUACAUUUUUACUUUCUCUUUGUUCCAAACUUCAGUCCCAAUCCAGUGCAAGAGGCUAAUAGAGUGUGGAACAGCAUUUGGCUUCUAAAAUGUCAAAGUAUAAUGAGAAAAGGAAAACAAUUAUUAACAGAACUGGUCACAGACACCCAUGGGUUGCAUCCUUUUAUCCCACACAUUGUAAAGGCAAUGCAGUGAGGUUAUCAGCAGAGCCUAAACAUCAGAUGCAUGACUUCAGUGGAGAAGCUGUGAUACAGUUUCUUAAACGCUUAAUAAAAAGGACAAGUUUAGUAAAAAACAAAACAGAACAAAACAACAAGAACCAUAUGCAGCUUAAUUAACUCUUGUGGAUAAAUCCCAAACAUUUUAUUCUAGGGACUGAUCAAGAUCCUUGUUUUAGGGACAAAUUUUUGUAUUUUCAACAUUUUAUUAACUCAUGGAACUUCUGCAAAACCAUUCCACAGAUAAUGAUCUCAAGACUAUACUGCUUAACUGAGUCAAUCAACAUUUAUCAGCCAUGUGCAGGAAUAUCUGUUAAAGACCAGGAAUCCAAAGACCCAUAUGCAUGUUUCCUGUGCUCAGCAAGUUUACAACCUAGCAGAAGAAAAGAGACACGACAUAUAAAUCGGUCCACUUUAGAAGUGCUGUGACUGACCUAUGGACAAGGUGCUAAGGGAAGAGGAACGACGUAAAGCCAGGCUUCAACCCAGUACCCUGUCUCCCAUUCUAUCAAACCACACUGCAUUUUACAUAUUAGACCUUUUUAGUUUCAUUUUCUGCUUUGCCUGGCUUCUUGCCACCAAGUCAUAUACUGUCAUCCCCGUUGUUUUUCUACGUAACCCACCUCCUUUUUUUUUUCAAGACGGCAUUUCACUCUUGUUGCCCAGGCUGGAGAGCAAUGGUGCGA
This 2885-nucleotide long non-coding RNA is filed under the name Homo sapiens (human). Its description in RNAcentral is "HSALNT0364783". The record is from RNAcentral. Lineage: Eukaryota; Metazoa; Chordata; Mammalia; Primates; Hominidae.